UACGGAAGGCAGCAGUGGGGAAUAUUGCACAAUGGGCGAAAGCCUGAUGCAGCUAUGCCGCGUGUAUGAAGAAGGCCUUAGGGUUGUAAAGUACUUUCAUCGGGGAGGAAAAACAAAACUAAUAAUUUUAUUUCUUGACGUUACCCGAAAAAGAAGCACCGGCUAACUCCGUGCCAGCAGCCGCGGUAAUACGGAGGGUGCUAGCGUUAAUCAGAAUUACUGGGCGUAAAGAGCACGUAGGUGGUUUUUUUAAGUCAGAUGUGAAAUCCCUGGGCUUAACCUGGAACUGCAUUUUGAAACUGAAAUACUAGAGUAUCGUAGAGGGAGGUAGAAUUCUAGGUGUAGCGGUGAAAUGCGUAGAUAUCUGGAGGAAUACCUGUGGCGAAAGCGGCCUCCUAAACGAAUACUGACACUGAGGUGCGAAAGCGUGGGGAGCAAACAGAAUUAGAUACC
Molecule: ribosomal RNA, 453 nt
Filed under: uncultured bacterium
Lineage: Bacteria
Description: bacterial SSU rRNA
Rfam family: Bacterial small subunit ribosomal RNA
Source: RNAcentral